GUGCCUUUUGUAAGCGCACCCAGACUGGCCUGCUUGUUUAAAGACAUGAGGGAAGCUUCUGCCUAAUACUGUGUUCCUUAGGAUUGUGAGGACAGAAGUACCAAAACCAAACAAAAAGAAACCAACAAGACAACCAUGAAACUCCAAACACAAGACAACAUUGAUAAUACUGGAGGCUGCCAUGGGAGAAGUCUGCACAAAAAGAGCAAGUUUAAGAGCUUCAGGAGUCAUAAAUGGCUUGAGAAGAUUAUGCUAGAGAUUGAAGCAGAUGGAAGAUUCUAGAAACAGAAAGCAUUCUUUUCAUUGGUGUGAGUCUUGAAUAUAAAUGGAAAUCAGAGGUCUGUAAUAGCAGGCCAGUGUGGAUAAGGCAGUAAGGUUUUGAGUCUGAGGAGAUGGCUGGGGGCAGUUUGUAGACUUAUUGUCAGUCCAGUGUAGAAUUUGAGAAUAUAGCCAGGGCUUAAGGUUCCAGUUUCAAAUUAAAGACAAAAGAAAUCAGCAAUACCAAAAUGAAGACAGAAGCCUGGGAAUUGUGCCUCAAGAUCUGGACUGAGAGGACAUUUCUACACAACAGCUCCCCUAAGGGCAGGGCUAUGACCGUUGUUGCUAAGCUGUCACCAUCUCUCCUUCCCUAUUAGACUGGCUUCUGUGGGGUAAUUAACCAGUACAAGGAUGUAUGGGAAGCUCUUCUGAGAAGACCUCACAUUAAAACAAAGUGUUGUUAUUCAA
Molecule: long non-coding RNA, 726 nt
Filed under: Homo sapiens (human)
Lineage: Eukaryota; Metazoa; Chordata; Mammalia; Primates; Hominidae
Description: long intergenic non-protein coding RNA 1013
Source: RNAcentral